Molecule: ribosomal RNA, 903 nt
Filed under: uncultured bacterium
Lineage: Bacteria
Description: bacterial SSU rRNA
Rfam family: Bacterial small subunit ribosomal RNA
Source: RNAcentral
CCCUAGAGCGGCGGACUGGUGAGUACACGUGGAUGAUCUACCCGAGGCAUGGGGAUAGUCACUAGAAAUAGUGGGUAAUACCGAAUACGGUGCGCAUCGUGGGGGUGCGCAAGAAAGGUGCUACGGCACCGGCCUAGGAUGAGUCUGCGUCCCAUUAGCUGGUUGGUGAGGUAAGAGCCCACCAAGGCGAUGAUGGGUAGCCGGCCUGAGAGGGUGUACGGCCACACUGGGACUGAGAUACGGCCCAGACUCCUACGGGAGGCAGCAGCUAAGAAUAUUCCGCAAUGGACGAAAGUCUGACGGAGCGACGCCGCGUGGAUGAAGAAGGCCGAAAGGUUGUAAAGUUCUUUUGUUGGGGAAGAAUAACCAUGGGAGGGAAUGCCCGUGGGAUGACAUGAACCGACGAAUAAGCCCCGGCUAACUACGUGCCAGCAGCCGCGGUAACACGUAGGGGGCGAGCGUUGUUCGGAAUUACUGGGCGUAAAGGGCAUGUAGGCGGUCUUGUAAGCUUGGCGUGAAAGACCACGGCUCAACCGUGGGAUUGCGUUGAGAACUGCGAGGCUCGAGUGACGGAGAGGGAGCUAGAAUUCCUGGUGUAGGGGUGGAAUCUGUAGAGAUCAGGAAGAAUACCAAUGGCGAAGGCAAGCUCCUGGCCGAUGACUGACGCUGAGGUGCGAAAGUGUGGGGAUCAAACAGGAUUAGAUACCCUGGUAGUCCACACUGUAAACGAUGUGCACUAGGUGCUGGUACGGAUGUAUCAGUGCCGUAGCUAACGUGAUAAGUGCACCGCCUGGGGAGUAUGCUCGCAAGGGUGAAACUCAAAGGAAUUGACGGGGGCCCGCACAAGCGGUGGAGCAUGUGGUUUAAUUCGAUGGUACGCGAGGAACCUUACCUGGGUUUGAC